This 1186-nucleotide long non-coding RNA is filed under the name Phasianus colchicus (ring-necked pheasant). RNAcentral describes it as "lncRNA (ENSPCLG00000008701.1)". Lineage: Eukaryota; Metazoa; Chordata; Aves; Galliformes; Phasianidae. The record is from RNAcentral.
GUUUUAUAUUUUGCUGAGCUUGUGCCUGAAUUCUAACUUUUCCAGGCUUUAAAAAAUCGUAUUCAGAGCAAAGCAAGAGAAACAUCUUUAUCUAACUUCUGUUUUUGAAUGGGAAGACUAAAUGUGGACUUAAGCAUUGACUUUUAUGUAGUUAAAAUACAAGUUUCUUGGCUUCCUUAUGCAGCUCCGGGGAACAGAUCUGUUACUGCUUUCCCAGCUACCCACAGGGAACGUAGGGAAAAUGGCUGCUCCUGUUGGUGAAGCUUGAUUUCAGACCCAUUAACUUCCCUAUAUGAAGUACUGCUCUUCAGAAGGAUGGAGCAAUUCAUAACUCGAAAGGGCCUUUUAAAUGUGCCCUCUGAGGGCUCAUUCUGCUGACUGCCAAUGGCAGUUACACUCCCAAAUCCCUCUGGAGCUUCUUGAAAGCUUCUCCUCUCCCAGAAUAGCAGCACCUUCCCUGAAGCUGUGCAAACGCUGGCAUUGCAUAUGCCUUUUAUCUCUGGUUCAGCCUGUGGAGCCAAUAUCCCAAUCAGCCACUCUUGGUUGGAAGCCCAGAGAUGUGCUGACCUGCUUUGCAUCCCCAUAGGGAAACCCAAUGGAGGAGCACGACGGACCCAGGCCCUGCACCUGUCUGCUGUGCCCCAAACAAGACGUGGCCUUUCUCCAUGAGCAACGCUAUCAGACUUUUCAGGUCAAGGUCCCAAUAGAGCUAUCCAACCUGCAAACACAACUGGGGCGUACAGAUGAAUUACUGAUGUGAAAACAGGAUUGUGGAGUUGUGAGCUUGUGCUGUAAAAGUAGCAGGUGCAUUGCAUGACUCCAAAGGGGAACUGCUCUGUUUGGUGCUUGAAACAAAACUUCGUUGCUGAGCUUCAGGGAUUAAGGGAAGGGAUUGUAUUUGCCUGCUGCAGUUAGAUGCAGCGUCCUCAAGGACCCCAGAACCUGCAUGGAGACAUGGAGGAGAGAGGAAAUAACCUUUACAGAAAGAAAAUCAGUCAAAUCAUCUUUAGCAUUCAAACAAAAGAUGAUAUGUAUAAGGCCGUCUGUGUUAUUUUUUUCCCCAUUAAGAAUGUUAUUAAUGAAGGAAAUGAACGAGGACUUCAAGGACAAAAAAAUACUCUUCUGCCAAUUCAAGAAAAGAUAAUGGAUGAGGUGUUACAGAACCUGUAGGUGAGUUCAAGUUUGC